This 253-nucleotide ribosomal RNA is filed under the name uncultured bacterium. Its description in RNAcentral is "partial 16S ribosomal RNA". It matches the Rfam family "Bacterial small subunit ribosomal RNA", at positions 524 to 776 of the family's 1533-position model. The record is from RNAcentral.
UACGUAGGUGGCAAGCGUUGUCCGGAAUUAUUGGGCGUAAAGCGCGCGCAGGCGGUCCUUUAAGUCUGAUGUGAAAGCCCACGGCUCAACCGUGGAGGGCCAUUGGAAACUGGGGGACUUGAGUACAGAAGAGAAGAGUGGAAUUCCACGUGUAGCGGUGAAAUGCGUAGAGAUGUGGAGGAACACCAGUGGCGAAGGCGACUCUUUGGUCUGUAACCGACGCUGAGGCGCGAAAGCGUGGGGAGCAAACAGG